This 705-nucleotide long non-coding RNA is filed under the name Salmo salar (Atlantic salmon). RNAcentral describes it as "lncRNA (ENSSSAG00000108721.1)". The record is from RNAcentral. Lineage: Eukaryota; Metazoa; Chordata; Actinopteri; Salmoniformes; Salmonidae.
GUUCAAGUAGGGAGGCAGCACCGGGGCAGAAACCACCUUACACUGCCCAGCCCCCCGCUCACCAUCACACCCCCCGAAAGUAUCAGCACCCGUCCUCCACUCCCGACACACUCACACUCUCUCUUUCCCUUGCCCUGUGCCUGUCUCUCUCCAUUCUACCAAGUAGCCGGCCAGACCUUUUCUCUCUCUCUCUCUCUCUCUCUCGCACUCUCUCUCCUGCCCUGUCGACAUCCAUCGAGCGUUCCACGCCUUUCUCCCUCAGCUUCCAAAGCCGUGCUGUCUACCGUUACUGCUGCUGUCCGUCCGUGUCUCUAUCUGCAACAAGUUCCCUGGGACAUUUUUGGAAACUUUUUUUCCUCAAGACAUUUCUUUUUUUGCUAUCUCCCUGGAGACGCCAGUGCAUGUGGUGCUGUGUGUGAAAGGGUCUAGUGUUGCUCUUUCCUGGGGGUCUCUGUACACCAUUAACCAGAGGAGAAGAUUACUUGACAUCAUGAUCAAAGUUCAGCUGCUGCUUCUGCUGGCCCUGGUCGGCCCCCUCUGUGCCGUCGCACACGCAACCUCGGUGAGGAGGAAAGUUGGAUUCGGAGACACAAGGGGGAAUGUGAUGUAAUGGUGCGAGGUCUUGUGCCUCGUGCUCAUGAUUUCUUGGCCGCCGGCAGGGAGAAAAAGGAAUAUCCUUUGGAAGGCUACCAAACAGUGCUCGGG